RNAcentral lists this transfer RNA (75 nucleotides) under Syntrophobacterales bacterium. RNAcentral describes it as "tRNA-Glu". It matches the Rfam family "tRNA". Rfam says of the family: Transfer RNA (tRNA) molecules are approximately 80 nucleotides in length. Their secondary structure includes four short double-helical elements and three loops (D, anti-codon, and T loops). The record is from RNAcentral. Lineage: Bacteria; Pseudomonadati; Thermodesulfobacteriota; Syntrophobacteria; Syntrophobacterales. RNAcentral also lists the same sequence under 1 other name.
GGUCCCAUCGUCUAGCGGUUAGGACAUCGGCCUCUCACGCCGAGAACCUGGGUUCAAAUCCCGGUGGGAUCACCA